GUAGUAUCAUAGGCAACGGGGUGAAGAGUGACAGGCUCGUUGUUCUCAGUGGAAACAAAAUGAGCCUUGGCGGGAGGAGCGGGUUGACGACGAAGUUGAACAGUCUUACCCUGAGCCUUGGCCUCCUUACGCUUAGCCUCGUUGGCCUUGACACGGUCCAAGAAGUCUUGACGGCACUUGGAAUGCUUAACGUGCUCAAUACGAACAUUGACACGCUUUUCCAUGUAACGGUUACCAACAACCUUGUAGAUCAAGACACCAACGGAUGAUUGAGUAACGUUGUAAACGACACCAGUCUUACCAUGGUAAUACUUGUGAGGCAUACCCUUCUGGACAGCACCAUUGACCUUAAUGUCGACAAUAUCACCAACUUUGUAAGUUUUCAAGUAAGUGGACAAACGGAUCUGACCAUGCUCCCUGAAACCACGCUGAAAAGUGUAGCGGGUACGAGCUCUAAUACCAUAGGAAUGAGGCAUGUUGGGUCCUGUGAAAGGGAACUGUAGGUUGUAGGAGUUUUGGCAUGUCUAGCAAAUUGUUUGCGUUUCAAAAAAACAGUCACACAACUAGACUGACUCUUAAAAUACGUUGCAAUGCCUUGCUAAAAUAAUAAAA
Non-coding RNA from Schizosaccharomyces pombe (fission yeast), 612 nucleotides. Lineage: Eukaryota; Fungi; Ascomycota; Schizosaccharomycetes; Schizosaccharomycetales; Schizosaccharomycetaceae. The record is from the annotation of a GenBank genome assembly.